GGGCCUUUAGCUCAGUCGGUAGAGCAGUUGCCUUUUAAGCAAUUGGUCGCGGGUUCAAGUCCCGCAGGGCCCACCA
This 76-nucleotide transfer RNA is filed under the name Candidatus Shapirobacteria bacterium RIFOXYA1_FULL_39_17. RNAcentral describes it as "tRNA-Lys". It matches the Rfam family "tRNA". From Rfam's summary of the family: Transfer RNA (tRNA) molecules are approximately 80 nucleotides in length. The record is from RNAcentral. Lineage: Bacteria; Candidatus Shapironibacteriota. RNAcentral also lists the same sequence under 2 other names.